GUUACUUCCUCAAAAAUCGUUAACAACGCACUGGAGGCUGAAGAUGCAGCCGGAGAAACUGCCCGAGCGUUGUCUCGCCCGUCUUCUGAUGCUGUGCCUGGUUCCCAGCAACAUUGUGGUUGUGAGGUGGAAAAGGAACCGUCAUCCUCCAGCUGUUAAUAUUAGUGACGGAAAUAUUGUUAGGUUGUUCUAAAAGGAGUCGGCACCUCAAGUUCAUAGCCUGCAAGUUCUGCGGCCAGGCGGUCUCUCAUCCACCUCCUGAUGCUGUGCCUGGUUCCCAGCAACAUUGUGGUUGUGAGGUGGAAAAGGAACCGUCAUCCUCCAGCUGUUAAUAUUAGUGACGGAAAUAUUGUUAGGUUGUUCUAAAAGGAGUCGGCACCUCAAGUUCAUAGCCUGCAAGUUCUGCGGCCAGGCGGUCUUUCAUCCACCUCCUGAUGCUGUGCCU
This is a long non-coding RNA of Micropterus salmoides (largemouth bass), 445 nucleotides long. RefSeq lists it as uncharacterized. The transcript has 3 exons. Lineage: Eukaryota; Metazoa; Chordata; Actinopteri; Centrarchiformes; Centrarchidae. The record is from RefSeq and is a predicted model, not a curated record.